Molecule: long non-coding RNA, 644 nt
Filed under: Pongo abelii (Sumatran orangutan)
Lineage: Eukaryota; Metazoa; Chordata; Mammalia; Primates; Hominidae
Description: lincRNA
Source: RNAcentral
GGGUGCACCAGCCAGCCCACAGCACAGAGCCUGCCUGUUGGUCUCUACCCACAGGGUGUCCCCUGCUGCUCCAGCAUCAGAUUUGGGACACCACCACCCCCGCCCCACCAGAGGGCAUCACCUAUGCCUAGCAAUUACGCCCCCGUGGCUAAAUUAAACUCCCAUUGGCUAAAUUAGGCCCGAAGAGAGGGGCAGCUGCUGCUAAGCUGUGUAUGUUGUCCCCCUAGGACUUCCACCGUUUGCUGAGCUCCACAUGACAACAGCAGACCACAGGCCGCACUGAUCCCACCUGGCUUACAGGUGCUGUCACACAGGACUGCUGACUAAACACUUUCAAGCACAGCGGACCCUUGAACAACGCAGGUUCAGACUGUACAGGUCCAUCCACAGGGAUGUUUUUCAAUCAGUUACACCAAGUGUCCCUGCCUCUCCUGCCUCCCUUCCCACCUCCUCCAUGUCUUCCUCUCUGUCACCCUGAGGCAGCAAGACCAGCCCCUCCUCCUCAGCCACUCAACGUGAAGACAACGAGGAUGAAGACUUCUAUGAUAAUCCACUUCCACUUAGUAAAUACUUUCUCUUAUGAUAUUCUUAAUGACAUUUUAUUUUCCCUACCUUAGUUUAUUCUAAGAAUACAGUAUAAAUAC